Cornus florida is the source of this 4864-nucleotide long non-coding RNA. RefSeq lists it as uncharacterized. The record is from RefSeq and is a predicted model, not a curated record. The transcript has 2 exons. NCBI's taxonomy places the organism in Eukaryota, Viridiplantae, Streptophyta, Magnoliopsida, Cornales, Cornaceae.
CAUAAUAGCUAUUAUCAUAGAUGAUUUUGUAGUUCAUAUAUAUAUAUAUAUAUAUAUAUAUAUAUGUCUAUUUGCGUAUAUUUUGCCUCUCCUUUCAGCUGCAAAGGCAUAGAUCUGAUGAUCUGUUUCUUGAUGGCUUUGUUCUGGAGGCAUAUAUUUAAUCUCCAAAAUUUUAGGGGUUUAGUUUAAACCAGAGCUGGUGUUGUUGCUACUCUGGUCUCCCCUUAUUUGGUACAUUUCCGUUGGAAAAUUAAUUUAUUUUGCUUUUUCUGUAGUAGCUUUGUGCUCCGUUUGGUUGCCUAGAUAUUGCAUGAAAUUGAUAUUUAUACUAAUUUAUAUAUAAACAGAGUUGAUUUGGCUUUGUUUUAGAUCCCCAUUAAUUUUCUAAGUCUUCUUGGCAACCAUAAAAAGCAUAAGAUUAAUAUGGAUCAUUUGUCUCAAGUUUGAUUGCAUUGGAUAUAAUAAUUUUGAUUAAUGGUGGUGUUGGGACAGGCAAAAGAGACACUUGCUGCCGCAUGAAUUUUGAUUAUGUUUUUAUUAUUCAAGGUUGUGACAUUUAGGCAAAGCAUGUGGUAAAGAUCGCAUUGUUACUUUUUUUAUUUUAUUUUAUUUGUUUAUUUAUUUUUUAUAAAUAGAGAAAUGCUAGGUGCGGUUGUUUGGCGACUAUGGUAGCAGCCUGUUGCACAACUUAAUGGAAGCUUUACACUACUUGAGUAUUUUAUUGUAAACAAAAAAUAAAUUGAGAUGCCCUUUCAUGUUGUUCUUAGAAUCCUUAGUGAGAAAUUAUUAGGUGGUUUGAGAUCAUAUGGUGUUGACCGCCAAUCACAAGAUACACCAAAUGUGUUAGUAUCUUGUGACUGUCUAGAACUACAUGAUUCCAGACUACUUAAUAAUUUCUUGAUUAAUUAUGGUGAAUUUAAAACCCUUAUUAUUGGAUUUGGUUUGAAGGUAGAAUUUAGAGAUGAAGGGAAGAGUGAGACGAAGAAUGAAAGUGUGUUGAGCUAUCCUUUACAACAUUAGUAAUGGUGUCUGUAUGGUAGAUUUAUCAAAUUCAAAGGGCAUGUCAAUUUUGAGCUUUUGAUUUAUUCAUAAACUCAAAGUAAGGGGCUUGUGUUCUUAACUGGUGCUGCGAGCGUGAUGCCACCGUUGUUAAGCGACUGUGGCUAGCAUUUCUCUCAUUUAUAAUGCAAAAUUCUAUGAACUUCUUUGCCUUAUUCUUAGAUUUGUGCUUUCCAUAUUUUGGAUUUUAAUUCUUCUUAAGCAUAAGCCUGUUUGAUAUGUUAGUCUCAAAGUCACUAAUUAAACUGCUUGAAAAUCCUCGGAAUUCUUUUAAGCUGAAUCAUUUUGUGUUUAUCCAUUAUCCAUUUAUUCUUAAUGUUGUGAUACAAUGUCUCUUCUUUCUGCUGCAUGGACAUAUAUACAAGUAGGAUCAAUUUAUUGAUUGCUUUGUUCUGAAGUCAUAUAUUAGUCUCAUCAAAAGUCUUAUUUGGAGUUUGUGACCUUCCUUUUGUGGCUCCCCUUUGUUAUUUUUUUAAUAGAUAUAUCUCUCUUUCUAUUUUUCUGUUUUUAUUAGAUAAAUAGUGAUAAUUUUUAGUAAAAACAUUUCUCUGUGUUUCAUUCUAUUCAUAGUUGCUGAAAAGUUGGAGGAAUAUGAGAUGUUAAAGCUUAAAGCUUUAGUAUGUCAAGUUAUCCUUAGUUUUGGAUAAUGUGAUGCUAGAUGUUGGUUUUGGAGGAUAUAAUGCUAAAUAUUAGUUUGGAGAAUAUACUGGUAAAUGAUUAUGUUUACAGAAAGUGCUUACAACCUCCCCACCUUCAAAGAAGAGGGUAGGGAUUCUAGUCCUAUUAAGUCUUCCUAAAACAUAACAAUUACAAUUGCAGUAAUUAUUAUUCGUGGUUAGAUAAAUUUUCCUUUUAAAUAACAAUUAGGAAAAUUUAUUUAUUUAAAAAAAAAAGGAAAAGGAAAUUAAAAGAAUUUGAAGAGUAAAAGAGAAAAGUAAUAUAAAGUUGAUAAUAAUUUUAAAAUUUAAUUUUUUUUUUUAGGAAGGGCAUUAUUUAGAAAUUUUAGUAUACAUUUAAAAAAAAAUUAAAAAAAAAAUACCUUAUAUGUUGUAUGGGGCCAGACUACAAUUAUUCCGCCCUGGUUGUGUAUAUAAAGACAAAUUAGACAAACAAUAUUUUAUAAAUUUAAGGGAACAAGGCUAUUUAUUUAUUCAAUUUGGGUAUUUACAUUUUUAAGAAGUAAACAACAUAAAUUAUUGUGGUCUUCACAUAAUAUUGUCUCUAGUAGUUUACUUUUCUUUAUCUUUGAUUAUUAAGUUUAUUUUUCAGUUUUAAAAAGUAUAUUCAUUUAAUUUCUACUUUUGUGAUCUAAUUUUCUAUUUAUUUGGAGAGUGAAAUAAUGUGAGAUUCAUGUUGCGUAUGGUAGGAAAUAAGUUUUUAUCGUUUGGUACAGGAUAAAUUGAAAAGAAAAGUUGAAGAGAGAAUAAUGGAAAAAUAUAAAUACAGUAUAUUAGUUAAAAUGUUUGAUUUUUUUUCUUAAAAUAGUAAUACAUGAAUAAAAAAUAUAUAUUUUUUUUUCUAUUUCCAAAGUGUCACCACCUCUCUUUACUCUCAUUAUUUCCAACUUCAAGCAGUAGGUUGACGCAUACCCAGAACGCAGCCGGUAUUUUUGGUCAACAAUUGCAACACCCUAGAAUGCAUUCGGUCAACCAUUUUAAAGCCCUAGAAUGCAUUGAUACUCAUAAAGUGUUAAGCAACUUCAUACUGGGAAAUGCUAGGCGCCGUUGUUUGGUGGCUAUGGUAGCAACUCACCACACAAGUGAAUGGAAGUUUUACUUACACUAUUUGAGUCUUUAUUGUAAACAAAAAAAUUAAACUGAGAUGCCCUUUCAUGUUGUUCUUAGUAUCCUUAGUAAGAAAUUAUUAAGCUAGUUUGGGACCAUAUGGUCCUUACCAAUCACAUGAUGCACCAAAUGUGUCAGCAUUUUGUGAUUAGUCAGGACUACAAGAUUUCGGACUACCUAAUAAUUUUUAUAUCCUCAAUCUUUAUAUAUAAAACUUUCUCGAGCUCUACACCUGGCAUUCAAUGUGAUAAAUUAACUGUAAUUCUACCAUGAAAAAUGAUUCUUAGGCCUAUUUGUUAGGCCAAUUUGUCUAACUCAAGGAUUCUUAUCCCUUUGAAAUAGUGGAUAGGACCCACAUUUGAGUUUAUUCACCAUAUAACCCCCUUAACCUGACAAUAAUCAACUUUACAGCAUACAAGAAAAGUGCUAAAAUACUCUAACAAAAAUAAUAAUAAAAUUAAUGUUUUACAUAAUUCUAUUAUUAACAAUGGGCUAAUGGCAUAGAGUGGAUGGAUAAUAAAUCUAAUGAGUAUUGAAUCCAUCAGUACACAAAUAUUUCAGGAAUAAUGACCUUUUUAAUGUGUAUUCUUGACACUUGACUAAUGGCACGCACUCCUACAUUAAAAGAAAUUAUCAUAAUUCCUGAAAAUCACAUUAAAUGCCAUGAGUCUUCUACACUAUUUUCUCUUUGAUAGUAUCUUAUAAAAAUAAUACUUGAUUGAUUAUUGUAAGUUUAAAAACCUGUUAUUGGAUUUGGUUGGAAGGUAGAAUUUAGAGAAACAGUGAAACACAAUGAAAGUCUGUUGAGCUAUCCUUUACAACAUUAAUUAUGGUUGCAGUAUAUUUAAUUUAUCAGAUUGAAAUGACAUGUCAAUUUUGAACUUUUGUUUUAUUCAUAAACUCAAAGUAAGGUGCUUGUGUUCUUUACUUGUGUUGCGAGAAGAAUAUUAUGCUAAAUGAUUGUGUUUAAUGCUUAUCACCAUACUAGUGUUUUGGUAAGUUUCUGUUUUGUGUGGUUGCUUGGUUUGGAAACAUUUGUUUUCAUAAUAUAAGGUAAUAAUUUUUGGAAAACAUUGUCUUCAUGAAUCUAUCUUAGUAGCCUACUAUACUCUGAGUUGGUUAUGACAAUUGUGGAAAUAAUGCGAUAACUAAGGUACAUGAACUUCACAUUUUCUUUCACCUUUCUUUUCUAUCCCAUUCCCAAUCAAAAUGAACUUCUAUUUAUGUUUUAAGAAUUUAUGUUACAUGGACUCAUAUAGGUGUGAAGGGUGCCGGGAUGGGUUUAAUCCAUAUUAUGCAAGGAGACAUUGCUUUUGCUAAUUCGAAUUGAAGGAUGAUAUAAAAUCGGUCUAUUUUCGGCAUAAUAUCCAUAGUUAGCGCAUUCAUCAUAGUUAGCAGCUCCAGCUCCGUAUCAAGGUCAUGAUCGAUAUCGUCAAUAUCGUCACUAGCAUCAAUAUCGUCACUAUCCUCAAUAUUGAUAUCAUCAAUAAGAAAACCUUUAGGCUUGUUAUCCAGGAACUUGUUCAGAGAUACCGUAAUGAAAGGAGGAGUUUGUCGCUAGGGAUUUGACCAAAUAGGAUCGUCCAGUUCCUAUAGAACCUAUCACUAAAAUACCUUUUUUUUUUUGUCAUUCCAAGUAAUAGAAAUUGUUUUUUGAACUUGUUGCAUUCAUUUUUCUAAGCACUAGCUCGACUUAUACCCAAGCAUUAUCACUAAAAUACCUUUUUUUUUUUCUCAUUCCAAGUAAUAGAAAUUGUUUUUUGAACUUGUUGCACUCAUUUUUCUAAGCACUAGCUCGACUUAUACCCAAGCAUUCUCCUAGCAGAUGGUAUUUUCGGUCUCUAAAAUGCAUUUUCAAGCGGCGGUAUAUGUAGCUCGGCAGUAUAUGUAGCUCCGCUGUUCUUGUCAGGGGAGUAAUAACUUCUUUCCGGGAUGUAAUAAUAAUGAUAAUCUCUAUUUAUUGUUAGAGAUGAUUUUGUGGUUCUUAUAUAUAUAUAUGUGUCUGUGCGUUUGUAUUUGUA